AUUAUAAUAGUUUAAUUAAAACUAUAGUUUGUGGAACUAUAAAUGAUAUAAUA
RNAcentral lists this transfer RNA (53 nucleotides) under Cheiracanthium triviale. RNAcentral describes it as "tRNA-His". The record is from RNAcentral. Lineage: Eukaryota; Metazoa; Arthropoda; Arachnida; Araneae; Cheiracanthiidae. RNAcentral also lists the same sequence under 1 other name.